Carassius auratus (goldfish) is the source of this 1335-nucleotide long non-coding RNA. RefSeq lists it as uncharacterized. The transcript has 4 exons. The record is from RefSeq and is a predicted model, not a curated record. Lineage: Eukaryota; Metazoa; Chordata; Actinopteri; Cypriniformes; Cyprinidae.
GUUAAAAAUUGCUGUUAAUUUACGUCAAAAUUUUAACAGUAUAAACCCGUUAUUUUAAAUAGCAGUGCUUACCUGUUUAUUUACGUUCGGUGAAAUGACCUAGAUAAAAUUUAACGUUAUUUUACCGUAUUUAUUGCUCGAAGGAAAGAAAACAGUACAGCUGCAGCGAGCACAUGUGGAUUUUCAUCCGUCUUUAUAUUGUGAUUUAACCGGUGAGUGCACCUUUGCCUGGCUCCUUUCACACAAAAUACACGUUUGCAAUUGCAAAUAACUGUGCAAAUAACUUUGAUAAGUGGAUGCUGAGGCUGUAACUGUUUAAUAUGUCCAUUUCAGUGCUAAAAUCAUCAACGUUCCAACGGCAUCAUAGAUUGGAGCUGGAUAGAUUCAGAUAUCCCCCGAUUACAAGGCAUCUUCCACUGCAGCUGAUGUAGAAAGGACACUUGAACUACCUUCAACUCCUCGACUGAUACUCUUUGGUGAAAAACCAGGAAGCUGCAUUCAUAAAUGGAUGAUUAGUUUUGAGGGGCAAAUAAUCUGUGAGGGCAUCCAGCCAAGUUUUCUGUCUGGACUUGCUGCUGUGUUUUCAACUUUCUACAAUUUCAAUGUGGAGUACCAAGCUGAGGCUGCAUCCACGUUGGAAUUUAUUCAGAGGUGCUUCAUUGGAAUAAAUACUGAAAAAGGCACCAAGGGUGGACAAGUCCUAUCAAAGCGGACAGGGAAGGUCGGCCACAAAAAGAAAUCAGUCAACACUCGGGUUGCCAGUCUACUUAAGAAGCUAAUGGACUUUGAGUGGGACUUCAUAUAAGUGAACUUACUCAUCCACUGACAUACCACACACACACACCGUACACAUACUCUUCACACAUGAUAAAAACAUGUUUUUAGUGUGUUUAGUCGCACAAUUUUUUCAGGUGUUCAUUCUUGAAUACCUACAUUUUGACUUCAUUCAUCAUUGAAUUAUUUCUUCAUUCAGUAACUCUUAUUCACUAAUAAUUUAGUAAUUCUUAUUCUCUCAGCAGUUCGCUAAAGUCACUCAUUUAGUUUUUUCUAAUGUUAUGUAAAUUAUUUGUUUAUUCAGUUAAACGAAAGUUUACUCUGAGGCUUAAGUUUUAGUCAUUCCACUUGCAUCAGCCACUAAUUUUGAGAAUAUUUUGUGAUUUAAAGUGGCUUUUUUUUUCAAGUUUUAAUAAAACAAAUUUGAAGUUACACUUUGUGUUGAAUUUUUAAUGUUUCAAAGGCUAUAUCUGUAUGUUGUAUUAAAACAUGGUUUUAUAGCAAGACUUCAAAGGGUUAAUUCAUAAAAUUAAAGAAAUAUCUAGAAAAAUAAUUCCACCU